This 563-nucleotide long non-coding RNA is filed under the name Monodelphis domestica (gray short-tailed opossum). RNAcentral describes it as "lncRNA (ENSMODG00000030244.2)". Lineage: Eukaryota; Metazoa; Chordata; Mammalia; Didelphimorphia; Didelphidae. The record is from RNAcentral.
GGCAACUGAUAGACCUGAAACCCACUGGUGAGUUAGAGGAAGGUCUAACCCAAGCAUAGGAAGACUUCUCCUGGUAGAAUGUGCAAAGAUAUUCUUGGAAGAACCUCUGAGCCAGAGGGGGAAGGAUCUAGUCCACACAGAUGCUUGGAGGAUCUUGGACUAGUACUUCACCUUGGAGAUACAACUUGGGACUUUGACCUGGGACUCUGGAUGGUGGACUUCUUCUGGGUCCUUGAGAACUGCAGGCAUCCGAAAUUUCAUCACAACCUCCUGAGGAGCUUCUCUGAAUUUAGCUCAUCUGGAUUCCAAGACAACAGACCUGUAGAUCAUUGCCAAGGUCAUCUUUGGAACUUCUCUAGCUUGAUGGAGACUUCCAAAGUUUGCCCUGUCUCAGAAAAACCUUCAAGAAUCCAUGGCCACUUCAACCCCCCCAAUAAGGUUUUUGGGGAAGAUAUUAAUGGAAAAUAAUUUAAAGGGUAUUCUAAAGUGUUAUGUGUUAUUAUUGUGAUUGACCAUAAUUAUCAACAUUAAACCAGAUUUGUCUAACUUCUGUAUCUGUUUGA